Molecule: transfer RNA, 89 nt
Filed under: Corynebacterium sp.
Lineage: Bacteria; Bacillati; Actinomycetota; Actinomycetes; Mycobacteriales; Corynebacteriaceae
Also listed under: 2 other names
Description: tRNA-Ser
Rfam family: tRNA
About the family: Transfer RNA (tRNA) molecules are approximately 80 nucleotides in length. Their secondary structure includes four short double-helical elements and three loops (D, anti-codon, and T loops).
Source: RNAcentral
GGAGACGUGCCAGAGCGGCCGAAUGGGGCUCACUGCUAAUGAGUUGUCCUUUUAACGAAGGACCGGAGGUUCAAAUCCUCUCGUCUCCG